AGAGUUUGAUCAUGGCUCAGGAUGAACGCUAGCUACAGGCUUAACACAUGCAAGUCGAGGGGAACGACAUCGAAAGCUUGCUUUUGAUGGGCGUCGACCGGCGCACGGGUGAGUAACGCGUAUCCAACCUGCCCAUCACUUGGGGAUAACCUUGCGAAAGUAAGACUAAUACCCAAUGAUAUCUCUAGAAGACAUCUGAAAGAGAUUAAAGAUUUAUCGGUGGUGGAUGGGGAUGCGUCUGAUUAGCUUGUUGGCGGGGUAACGGCCACCAAGGCUACGAUCAGUAGGGGUUCUGAGAGGAAGGUCCCCCANAUUGGAACUGAGACACGGUCCAAACUCCUACGGGAGGCA
This 351-nucleotide ribosomal RNA is filed under the name uncultured bacterium. Its description in RNAcentral is "bacterial SSU rRNA". It matches the Rfam family "Bacterial small subunit ribosomal RNA", at positions 8 to 350 of the family's 1533-position model. The record is from RNAcentral.